This 1457-nucleotide ribosomal RNA is filed under the name metagenome. RNAcentral describes it as "bacterial SSU rRNA". It matches the Rfam family "Bacterial small subunit ribosomal RNA", at positions 8 to 1382 of the family's 1533-position model. The record is from RNAcentral.
AGAGUUUGAUCCUGGCUCAGAACGAACGCUGGCGGCGUGGCUAAGGCGUGCAAGUCGCACGGACCGUGUGUUUGGGUAACUGGACGCGCGGUUAGUGGCGGAAGGGUGAGUAACGCAUGGGCAACGUACCCUGAGCAUGGGGAUAGCGGCGUCCCUUCGGGGACUUUAGCGAAAGUGCCGGUAAUACCCAAUGACAUCGGACGGUCACAUGGCCGACCGAUCAAAGGGCGGGGACCUUCGGGCCUGCCGGCUCGGGAGCGGCCCAUGUCUUAUCAGGUUGUUGGUGGGGUAACGGCCCACCAAGCCGACGACGAGUAGCCGGCGUGAGAGCGCGACCGGCCACAUCGGGACUGAGACACUGCCCGGACACCUACGGGUGGCUGCAGCAACGAAUAUUCCGCAAUGGGCGCAAGCCUGACGGAGCAACGCCGCGUGUAGGAUGAAGUCCUUCGGGAUGUAAACUACUGUCAGGGGUACGGAAGAGUUGUGCGCCGAAUAGGCGUACGGCUCGCUGGUAGCCAGACCAGCUCUCGACCGAACCCAGAGGAAGCCUCGGCUAACUCCGUGCCAGCAGCCGCGGUAAUACGGAGGAGGCGAGCGUUGUUCGGAAUUAUUGGGCUUAAAGCGCGUGUAGGCGGGGCGGUAAGUAUCUCGUGAAAGCCCCCGGCUCAACCGGGGAAUUGCGGGGUAUACUGCCGCUCUUGAGACAGGCAGGGGCGUGUGGAACUCUAGGUGGAGCGGUGAAAUGCGUAGAUAUCUAGGGGAACACCGGUGGCGAAAGCGACACGCUGGGCCUGUUCUGACGCUGAGACGCGAAAGCGUAGGUAGCGAACGGGAUUAGAUACCCCGGUAGUCUACGCCGUAAACGAUGCGCACAAGGUUCGAGGGUCUCUGACGACCUUCGUGCUGCAGCAAAAGCGAUCAGUGCGCCGCCUGGGGAGUACGGCCGCAAGGCUAAAACUCAAAGGAAUUGACGGGGGCUCACACAAGCGGUGGAGCAUGUGGAUUAAUUCGAAACAACGCGCAGGACCUUACCCGGGUUUGACAUGUGCGGAUGCCCCCGAUGAAAAUCGGGUAGGCUGCCCUUCGGGGUGAAACGUGCACAGGUGCUGCAUGGCUGUCGUCAGCUCGUGCUGUGAAGUGUUGGGUUAAGUCCCGUAACGAGCGAAACCCUUGUCGUUAGUUGCCAACGGACCUUCGGGUGCCGGGGACUCUAGCGAGACUGCCGGCGUCAAGCCGGAGGAAGGUGGGGAUGACGUCAAGUCCUCAUGGCCCUUAAGCCCGGGGCCUCACACGUGCUACAAUGGGGCGUACAGAGCGACGCGAAGCCGCGAGGUGGAGCAAAUCGCAGAAAGCGUCCCCCAGUUCGGAUUGGAGUCUGCAAUUCGACUCCAUGAAGUUGGAAUCGCUAGUAAUCGCGCAUCAGCUAUGGCGCGGUGAAUAUGUUCCUGAGCCUG